Molecule: ribosomal RNA, 953 nt
Filed under: Didysimulans italica
Lineage: Eukaryota; Fungi; Ascomycota; Dothideomycetes; Pleosporales; Didymellaceae
Description: SSU rRNA
Rfam family: Eukaryotic small subunit ribosomal RNA
Source: RNAcentral
CUAGUAUAGCAUUAUACCGUGAAACUGCGAAUGGCUCAUUAAAUCAGUUAUCGUUUAUUUGAUAGUACCUUACUACUUGGAUAACCGUGGUAAUUCUAGAGCUAAUACAUGCUGAAAACCCCAACUUCGGGAGGGGUGUAUUUAUUAGAUAAAAAACCAACGCCCUUCGGGGCUUCUUGGUGAUUCAUGAUAACUUCACGGAUCGCAUGGCCUUGCGCCGGCGACGGUUCAUUCAAAUUUCUGCCCUAUCAACUUUCGAUGGUAAGGUAUUGGCUUACCAUGGUUUCAACGGGUAACGGGGAAUUAGGGUUCGAUUCCGGAGAGGGAGCCUGAGAAACGGCUACCACAUCCAAGGAAGGCAGCAGGCGCGCAAAUUACCCAAUCCCGACACGGGGAGGUAGUGACAAUAAAUACUGAUACAGGGCUCUUUUGGGUCUUGUAAUUGGAAUGAGUACAAUUUAAACCUCUUAACGAGGAACAAUUGGAGGGCAAGUCUGGUGCCAGCAGCCGCGGUAAUUCCAGCUCCAAUAGCGUAUAUUAAAGUUGUUGCAGUUAAAAAGCUCGUAGUUGAAACUUGGGCCUGGCUGGCAGGUCCGCCUCACCGCGUGUACUUGUCCGGCCGGGCCUUUCCUUCUGGAGAACCUCAUGCCCUUCACUGGGUGUGUUGGGGAACCAGGACUUUUACUUUGAAAAAAUUAGAGUGUUCAAAGCAGGCCUUUGCUCGAAUACGUUAGCAUGGAAUAAUAGAAUAGGACGUGCGGUCCUAUUUUGUUGGUUUCUAGGACCGCCGUAAUGAUUAAUAGGGACAGUCGGGGGCAUCAGUAUUCAAUUGUCAGAGGUGAAAUUCUUGGAUUUAUUGAAGACUAACUACUGCGAAAGCAUUUGCCAAGGGAUGUUUUCAUUAAUCAGUGAACGAAAGUUAGGGGAUCGAAGACGAUCAGAUACCGUCGUAG